UGGAGUAACCAUUUGGAGCUAGCCGUCGAAGGUGGGACAAAUGAUUGGGGUGAAGUCGUAACAAGGUAGCCGUAUCGGAAGGUGCGGCUGGAUCACCUCCUUUCUAAGGA
This 110-nucleotide ribosomal RNA is filed under the name Staphylococcus hominis. RNAcentral's name for it is "partial 16S ribosomal RNA". It matches the Rfam family "Bacterial small subunit ribosomal RNA", at positions 1431 to 1533 of the family's 1533-position model. RNAcentral also lists the same sequence under 2 other names. The record is from RNAcentral. Lineage: Bacteria; Bacillati; Bacillota; Bacilli; Caryophanales; Staphylococcaceae.